Salmo salar (Atlantic salmon) is the source of this 73-nucleotide non-coding RNA. Lineage: Eukaryota; Metazoa; Chordata; Actinopteri; Salmoniformes; Salmonidae. The record is from Rfam.
GAUCCAGUGGCCUAAUGGAUAAGGCAUCAGCCUCCCGAGCUGGGCAUUGUGGGUUCAAGUCCCACCUGGGUCU